Molecule: long non-coding RNA, 378 nt
Organism: Oryzias melastigma (Indian medaka)
Lineage: Eukaryota; Metazoa; Chordata; Actinopteri; Beloniformes; Adrianichthyidae
Exons: 5
Source: RefSeq, a predicted model, not a curated record
GAUGGGACAUCCGGGUUAGAGCUCGUGCUUGCUGCUGUGCGAAGACGAACAGGUCUGGGAAAUGCAGAGUUUCCACGUAAAAAUGUUCGCACUGGAGCUGCGUGUGUUUGUAGAAUUAUCAGCAGCGAAUUUACCAUGAACAGACAUCCAAUGGAUUUGGAAAGAUCAUGAAGGUGAUGCUUCACCCGCUUGGGAUCAGGCAAUAAAAGAUGGAUUGAUAGUAAACCAGAACUACAAGAUUUACAGAUCCUGAAGAUAAUAAAAAAAGUUUGUUGGUGCAGACGGAGUUCCACUUGGAUUAAAGACACCCACCUUACUUUAAACAUGUUUUAUUAGGACUAAAAAAAUAGUUUGUAACAAGAAAAACUUAUAAAAAAA